RNAcentral lists this ribosomal RNA (1015 nucleotides) under Scaeva komabensis. RNAcentral's name for it is "eukaryotic LSU rRNA". It matches the Rfam family "Eukaryotic large subunit ribosomal RNA", at positions 111 to 939 of the family's 3401-position model. Lineage: Eukaryota; Metazoa; Arthropoda; Insecta; Diptera; Syrphidae. The record is from RNAcentral.
AUACAUAGCCAUUUGUUUUAUAACAAAUAUGGGAUGCAGUGUAUGGAACACCUAUAAUCUAGUAUGAGAAAUUAACGAUUUAAGUCCUUCUUAAAUGAGGCCAUUUACCCAUAGAGGGUGCCAGGCCCGUAUAACGUUAAUGAUUACUAGAAGAUGUUUCCAAAGAGUCGUGUUGCUUGAUAGUGCAGCACUAAGUGGGUGGUAAACUCCAUCUAAAACUAAAUAUAACCAUGAGACCGAUAGUAAACAAGUACCGUGAGGGAAAGUUGAAAAGAACUCUGAAUAGAGAGUUAAAUAGUACGUGAAACUGCUUAGAGGUUAAACCCGAUGAACCUGAAUAUCCAUUAUGGAAAAUUCAUCACUAAUAAUAGAAUAUAUAAAUAAUAUUUUAUGAAUGGUGUGCAAUUUUUCCAUAUAAGGACAUUGUAAUCUGUUAAUGUAAUAAAUAUUUAUCAUAAGAUUCAUUACAUCAAGUUUAUUCAAAUUAUUUAUUUUCGGAUAUUUAACAUAGAAUAAAUGUUUUGGAUUUGAUAAAUCAUUGACAGAUAUAAUUAUAUAAUGUGCUUAAAUUUUUCGGAAUUUUAUCAAUGGUAGAAAAUUUAUUUUUUAUUUAAUUGAUAUGCACUAUUAUGAUUAACAAUGCGAUAGAUUCAGGAUACCUUCGGGACCCGUCUUGAAACACGGACCAAGGAGUCUAACAUAUGUGCAAGUCAUUGGGUAUUUUUAAUAAAACCCAAUGGCAUAAUUAACUUAACUGCUAAUAAUGGGAUUAGUUUAUGUUUUGUAAUAAAAUAUAAAUUCAAUCCCGGGGCGUUCUAUAUAGUUAUGUAUAAUAGUAUUUAUAUUAUUUAUGCCUCUAACUUGAGCGUACCUUGAGCAUAUAUGCUGUGACCCGAAAGAUGGUGAACUAUACUUGAUCAGGUUGAAGUCAGGGGAAACCCUGAUGGAAGACCGAAACAGUUCUGACGUGCAAAUCGAUUGUCAGAAUUGAGUAUAGGGGCGAAGACUAUCGACA